AACUUUAAAGGAAGUUAGACGGGGGCCCCGGCACAAGCGGUGGAGCAUGUGGUUUUAAUUCGAUGAUACGCGAGGAACCUUACCUGGGCUCAAAUGUAUGUUGACGUAUUCUGAAAGGGAUACUUCUUCGGACAAUAUACAAGGUGCUGCAUGGUUGUCGUCAGCUCGUGCCGUGAGGUGUCGGGUUAAGUCCCGUAACGAGCGCAACCCUUGUCCUUAGUUACCAGCACGUUAUGGUGGGCACUCUAAGGAGACUGCCGGUGACAAACCGGAGGAAGGUGGGGAUGACGUCAAGUCAUCAUGGCCCUUACGGCCUGGGCUACACACGUGCUACAAUGGUCGGUACAAAGGGUUGCCAAGCCGCGAGGUGGAGCUAAUCCCAUAAAACCGAUCGUAGUCCGGAUCGCAGUCUGCAACUCGACUGCGUGAAGUCGGAAUCGCUAGUAAUCGUGAAUCAGAAUGUCACGGUGAAUACGUUCCCGGGCCUU
Molecule: ribosomal RNA, 488 nt
Filed under: uncultured Pseudomonas sp.
Lineage: Bacteria; Pseudomonadati; Pseudomonadota; Gammaproteobacteria; Pseudomonadales; Pseudomonadaceae
Description: bacterial SSU rRNA
Rfam family: Bacterial small subunit ribosomal RNA
Source: RNAcentral